This is a long non-coding RNA of Coffea eugenioides, 1036 nucleotides long. RefSeq lists it as uncharacterized. Lineage: Eukaryota; Viridiplantae; Streptophyta; Magnoliopsida; Gentianales; Rubiaceae. The transcript has 2 exons. The record is from RefSeq and is a predicted model, not a curated record.
AGUACAUUCUCUUUGGACCUGUCAUUGUCAGCGCUAUCAGUCCACUGGGUGUCCUCAAAUUUCGCCUCCUCCUCCAUAUAAAGCCCAACUUAUCACCCGCUCCACUACUACUACCACUACUAAACGACCUUUUCCUUCCUUCUUCCUCACCCCUCAUUAUUCUCUCUCACACUCUCUCUCUCUUCUAUUUUCUCUGCCGUCGCUUCUUCCUGUAUGGGUGGAAGAGAAAAGGUUGCGAAGCAGAAAGCAACUCUGAAAAUUCCGCGAGGUGAUUUUUUCCCAAUUAACUUGUAUGGCUCCACCAACGCCAGAGCCCGCAUGCCAAACCUUGUAAAAAGUGCAAUGAGGGGGCAAAAGCAAAUCUUUCUCACUUGGAGCUCACAAUUGGAGAUGGACGCCUGUUCUUCUCCAUCCAGCUCCAUCUUGACGGUUGCUCCUUCAUUCUAAUUGGGCGCUAUCCUACCUGAGCUUUUCCACAGCCCCGCCACUUCUUCAAUGUUUCGCCUUUUUCUUUUUUUUUUUUGACUUGUUGCCUUUUGUUUUUCUUUUAAACUGCUUCUUCUUGACCUUGUAAGACCUUUUCUUGACCUUGUAAGACCCUUCGUCCCCUAUUUUGCCUUUGUUUUUUGCCUCCUCCUGAACCUUAUAUCAAGAUUUUCUGAUACGAGGUUUGGACGCGGCGUUUCUUCGUUCCCGCCCAACUCACGUUCUCCUUCCUUGUCUAUCCCUCCUGAGCUAUCGAACAAAAUUUGGCAUGGCAUCUCACUUUACAAAUGGCUUGCCUACUACAAGCAAGAUCACUUAAUCAGCACGUUGUGAUCACAAGAGUAAUACCGGGCAUUUCGAUUUUCAAAUUUUGAUUAGGUUCUUCCUUCUCCUUCCUGUAAUCAAAAUUAUGGAUAAGAAAUUUGCAUUAGCACAAGUUUCCUAUGAUGAUGUAAAAGGGUACUCACAAUCCAUAUAGUACAUUAUAUAUGUAUAUAUAAUGACUACUGUCGAUCUGCUUAAAAGCCAUAUAUCCUAGUUAAUUUCAAUC